This is a long non-coding RNA of Phasianus colchicus (ring-necked pheasant), 2327 nucleotides long. RefSeq lists it as uncharacterized. The record is from RefSeq and is a predicted model, not a curated record. NCBI's taxonomy places the organism in Eukaryota, Metazoa, Chordata, Aves, Galliformes, Phasianidae.
UUAUAAUGUUUAAUUUUUUCCCCGCUGUUUGAGCUCUCCAUAAAUCAAGUGGAGAUGUCAACUUUGUGUCAACAUUUCACUCAGCCUGCAGGUUACGGGCAAGCCGGGACAGCAGAUCUCAUGGAGAAGGUUGACUCUUCUCUUCGCUGUCUUUCCUAUUUUGAUGAAACAAUAAGAAGGUGGAGUCGAAGUGAACAAUGAAGACACUGGGCUCUAUGAAGAAUGGUGGUCCUCCAUUUCUUCUCCUCCAUACCUACACCAGCAGACGUGUUAGGAGGAAUCUGGCCUUAUGUUAAAACCAAAGUGCCUGGUAGAUGCAGAUUGAGCAGAAUGGGUUUUGCUUACCCAAUCCUCACUGACAGGAGAAUUUUGGAGCUCAGUGUGGGCAGCUGCUUUAGAGAGGGUGGGCUCUAUGCCUCUUGGUGAUUGUGUCUUAAAUACAUUGGUUGCGCUACCCCUUAUUGGAAGACUUUAAAAGCUAUGAAAAUAAGAUGCAAUGAGUGAAUGAGUGCAGGCAUAGGGAGGGAGCCUGUCCCAGGUGGGCACGCAGCUUCAGGGACCUCUGCAUGGUCAGCAUGGGUCAACCCCACUGCUGGCAGGGGUGAGGCUUGCAUGGGUUAAAAACCUCAGACAAAACCUCUGUUGCUACAUUGCAUUGCUUGGGAAAUGCAAACAGAGGAAGGAGAGGUGGAGAAGAGCCAUAGGAAAUACCUUCUGCUUUAUCUUUUCCACCUCCGGGAACUUGGCCACAAACUUGAACCAAGCUCAAAUCAAACCAUCUCUAUGCAUCUCCAAAGAACGGCACGAAGAGUCUCAAAGCAUCUCCUUGGCUCUUGAUUGGAAACCCCAAACUCCUGUGGUCGGAGACACGAUGCCAAAAUGUGGGCCUGACCUCCAAAACGAGUGGUAGAACAGGGAAUGAAGUAUGGGAGCUGACCUUGUUCCUGAGCUAGCUUAAGUGUUCAGCAUUGCUCCAGCUGCCAAACCUUCAUCCUCAGCACCAACAGCCAGAGAUGUUUUUGGGCUUCAGCUUGAACAAGCAGACCCAGUUGUUCUUUUUGCCAUUUCAAGUCACGGAGGGGAAAGGGCAUAAUUACUGCUUCUAGUUCUUCAUUAUUGCUGCAGAGAUCUGAACUCUUUUGAGAACUUGUUGGAACAGCCCCAUCGGGUGCAUGGAAAUGGAAAUCUGCUGAGUUUUUUUCCUCUCUUUAGUUAGCAGAAGCAGUUUUCUGCAACUGGAUUAUUUAUAUAUAAACAGGUCUGCCCUGAACACUGAAUGCAGGUCAUGGAGUGUUCUCCCGUGGGAUGUGGUCAUGCAAAGUCCCACCCAUUGACUCACUGUUUGGGCCAAAGAGGUAACCUUAGUCUGGCUUUUCGAGGCUGUAUGCAAUGCAAUAGAACUCAGCAAACAUUCAAGAUCAGGCUGUGCUCCAAAACGCUCCUAAUCCAAGGAGGGACUUACAGCAAGCAAUAAUGAACUCUCGCCUGAGGGCUGGGGGUAAAAGCCAGAGCUGUGUGGUGAGAAGCUGAAGGGUGUUGGGCCUUAGGAAUCCUGCUCAGCCAUGGAUGGAGCCAGCUGUGAAACACCACUGCCAAUCAAACUCGGGCUGUGUGUGUUGCAAGACUUCCCCUUUCACUUCCCAGAAGCUCUGUAGCUGUUCAUGCCCAGCAUUAAGAGACAGAGCUGUGAUACCUCAACAGGGCAUGAUUUCCUCCCCUUUCCAGUGUAGGGAAUAUCUUCAGUAGUGAAGAGCCACCAAGCAACGUGGAUGGAAGAAGUUUUGCCACGUAUCCCAAGAGGCCCCAAUGGCUGAGGGCCCCAGUGCAGCUGAAAUGAGCAAGAUAAAUAACUGUGAAGAAACAGAAUGCCAGUGAGGUGUGUGUCUGUGGAUGCUUGCAUGGGAAAUGGGGGACAUCUCUAAUGAAUAUUGAAGCCAAAUCCACAUUUCUCACAAUCAAAACUCACCAAAAAUGCAAUUUCUGUCCGGGAAUGACAACACCUUGCAAACGUUGCCAUAAAUCUCACCUGCAUUUCAGGGCGAUGCUAAAAUUUCCAAUUCCCUUUACUCAGAUACACAGCAGUGCAGCAAUUCAUGCCAGGGAAACCAAAGCCAGGCCUGGGCUGAAGGACUGAUAACAUUCAGCAGCGUUGCUGUGACAGCUCUUUUCUUCCUGAAGCUCCUAAGUGUUUUUGCUCUUAGGAUUUUAAUGGACCUCUGAGAAAAGAGCAGUGUCAAAACAGGAGCUCAGAUUACCAAAGUUAUUAUACUGUUAUGUACAAUGAGUGAUUAUUUUAUGUAUGUAUAAACUUUUUUUUUUUUUUUUUG